RNAcentral lists this ribosomal RNA (253 nucleotides) under uncultured bacterium. RNAcentral's name for it is "partial 16S ribosomal RNA". It matches the Rfam family "Bacterial small subunit ribosomal RNA", at positions 524 to 776 of the family's 1533-position model. The record is from RNAcentral.
UACGUAGGGGGCAAGCGUUGUCCGGAUUUAUUGGGCGUAAAGAGCGUGUAGGCGGCCAGACAGGUCCGUUGUGAAAACUCGAGGCUCAACCUCGAGACGUCGAUGGAAACCGUCUGGCUAGAGUCCGGAAGAGGAGAGUGGAAUUCCUGGUGUAGCGGUGAAAUUCGUAGAUAUUCGGAAGAACACCAGUGGCGAAGGCGGCUCACUGGACUGGUAUUGACGCUGAGGUGCGAAAGCGUGGGGAGCAAACAGG